GGGUGUAGUUCAGUGACAGAGCACAUGCUUAGCAUGCAUGAGGUCCUGGAUUCAAUCCCCAGUACUUCCA
This 70-nucleotide transfer RNA is filed under the name Camelus bactrianus (Bactrian camel). It matches the Rfam family "tRNA". From Rfam's summary of the family: Transfer RNA (tRNA) molecules are approximately 80 nucleotides in length. Their secondary structure includes four short double-helical elements and three loops (D, anti-codon, and T loops). RNAcentral also lists the same sequence under 2 other names. Lineage: Eukaryota; Metazoa; Chordata; Mammalia; Artiodactyla; Camelidae. The record is from Rfam by way of RNAcentral.